This 88-nucleotide microRNA precursor is filed under the name Bombyx mori (domestic silkworm). Its description in RNAcentral is "mir-2807 microRNA precursor family". It matches the Rfam family "mir-2807 microRNA precursor family". Lineage: Eukaryota; Metazoa; Arthropoda; Insecta; Lepidoptera; Bombycidae. The record is from Rfam by way of RNAcentral.
AUUAGCAAAAUUGGUACACGAGGAAUUGGAACGAUUGCUUAAGUUUGCCGCUAGGGGCGCUGUUCCAACUGCAUACAAAGUUGAGUUA